This 474-nucleotide ribosomal RNA is filed under the name uncultured bacterium. RNAcentral describes it as "SSU rRNA". It matches the Rfam family "Bacterial small subunit ribosomal RNA", at positions 26 to 518 of the family's 1533-position model. The record is from RNAcentral.
AGAACGAACGCUGGCGGCGUGGAUAAGACAUGCAAGUCGAACGGAAUAACUUGGUAGCAAUAUUGGGUUAUUUAGUGGCGAACGGGUGCGUAACACGUGGGUCACAUUCCGGGAAGUGGAGAAUAGCCCAGGGAAACUUGGAUUAAUGCUCCAUGUGGUCGCAAGACUAAAGGCGCAAGCCGCUUCCUGAUUGGCCCGCGGCCUAUCAGCUAGUUGGUGGGGUAAUGGCCCACCAAGGCUACGACGGGUAGCUGGUCUAAGAGGACGACCAGCCACACUGGAACUGAGACACGGUCCAGACACCUACGGGUGGCAGCAGUCGAGAAUCUUUCACAAUGGGGGAAACCCUGAUGGAGCGACGCCGCGUGGAGGAUAAGGUCUUCGGAUUGUAAACUCCUGUCAUGCGAGAACAAGCCUCACGCCUGAUAGUAUCGCAAGAGGAAGAGGACGGCUAACUCUGUCGCCAGCAGCCGC